CCAUAGCUCAGUGGAUUAGAGCGUCUGCCUCCGGAGCAGAAGGUCGUGGGUUCGAAUCCCCCUGGGC
RNAcentral lists this transfer RNA (67 nucleotides) under Paratractidigestivibacter faecalis. It matches the Rfam family "tRNA", at positions 5 to 66 of the family's 71-position model. Rfam says of the family: Transfer RNA (tRNA) molecules are approximately 80 nucleotides in length. Their secondary structure includes four short double-helical elements and three loops (D, anti-codon, and T loops). RNAcentral also lists the same sequence under 4 other names. The record is from RNAcentral. Lineage: Bacteria; Bacillati; Actinomycetota; Coriobacteriia; Coriobacteriales; Atopobiaceae.